This 478-nucleotide ribosomal RNA is filed under the name uncultured bacterium. RNAcentral's name for it is "partial 16S ribosomal RNA". It matches the Rfam family "Bacterial small subunit ribosomal RNA", at positions 28 to 523 of the family's 1533-position model. The record is from RNAcentral.
GACGAACGCUGGCGGCGUGCUUAACACAUGCAAGUCGAACGGUAAGGCCCUUCGGGGUACACGAGUGGCGAACGGGUGAGUAACACGUGGGUGAUCUGCCCUGCACUUCGGGAUAAGCCUGGGAAAUUGGGUCUAAUACCGGAUAGGACCACUGCCUGCAUGGGUGGUGGUGGAAAGCUUUUGCGGUGUGGGAUGGGCCCGCGGCCUAUCAGCUUGUUGGUGGGGUGAUGGCCUACCAAGGCGACGACGGGUAGCCGGCCUGAGAGGGUGACCGGCCACACUGGGACUGAGAUACGGCCCAGACUCCUACGGGAGGCAGCAGUGGGGAAUAUUGCACAAUGGGCGCAAGCCUGAUGCAGCGACGCCGCGUGAGGGAUGACGGCCUUCGGGUUGUAUACCUCUUUCAGCACCGACGAAGCGCAAGUGACGGUAGGUGCAGAAGAAGGACCGGCCAACUACGUGCCAGCCGCCGCGGUAA